Alligator mississippiensis (American alligator) is the source of this 1912-nucleotide long non-coding RNA. RefSeq lists it as uncharacterized. The record is from RefSeq and is a predicted model, not a curated record. The transcript is spliced from 4 exons. NCBI's taxonomy places the organism in Eukaryota, Metazoa, Chordata, Crocodylia, Alligatoridae.
CCUCGAAGAGAGUGAAAAAUCAGGAAAGAGCUAGCCUUAUUCUUGGGAAGGCCCAGCCAGCAGCUGUGAGGGAUCCUCUAAAUAAGGCAGGGAACAGUGGGGUGUGUUAAGAGACCUCCCAAAAGGGGAGUGAGGAGACAGAGAAUCAGGAAAGUCUGAGAGGGAAUAAUAUUGUUGCUGGAAGGCUGCAUGUGUGGAGUUAGAAAGGAAGGAACCAUUUAGGAGGGGAGCAGUUUCUUUAUGUUUGCUGGUUGUUCUUUCACUUUAAGAAUAAAUUCAGCUGAGGAGGCUGAUUGUCCUGACCAGACUGAGAAGCAGAGCUUGGGUUCCCCACGGGUAUGGGCAUAGUCAGUUUUCCACUCUCUCCAAGGACAAAUUCCCUGGAGAACUAUAAUGCCUGAAGCCCUGGUGAAGUAACCAGGUGAGCUGCAGCAUCUGCAGCUACAACUCCAACUGCAGCCAUGGAGGAAGCAAGAGGAACAGCAGUGGUUUUAAGUCAUGACUGCAAGAGAUGGGGCAUAUAGGAAGAAGCGACACCAGUACAAAGGCCCUCCAGAUGGACUAUAGUUUUGCCCACCCAUCGCCACUGCUGCCACUGCCCUGGGUUAAGCCCAGCCCCUAAUGCAGCCCAACUGGAUCAGGACAGGAGGACUGGAGUGGACCAUCUCCCAGCCCCCUCAUUUUGUCCAGACCAUUGCCUUAAGAGUCCUCAACAGAACCUGUAAAGCCAGUUUCAGCCAAAGAACUUUUGCCCAGUUCUGUGGGUUAAAUAAUUGCUCGGUCUCUCGGUACAGCAGUAGCUGUGACCUCUGUGUACUAUUGCUCAGCUCUCCAAGCAGCUUUGCUGCCGGGGGUAUGCUCUGCCCUGGCUGAGCAUUCAGAGGUCUCAGGAUGUUUUCACUGCAGCUCUCGGAAACUUCCAUCGCGUGUACGUGGAACAGACACAGAGCUAACAGACCUGCUGACUCAUUACCUGCAGGACACUGGAUGUUGUUUCAUGCCAGUGCCUUAUGUGGUAAAAAGACUCUUUAAGCCUGCAUUUUGUAAAUCGAAGAGAAUAAGUGAAUGGUGUACCAGGAUUCAGCUUUUUUUUAGCUGGCAAAUGCAGAAGUAUUUGAGUCGAAAAUCUGGAAUUCUAUUAGGCUUAUAUGAACUAGCAAUCGUGGAGCUUGUUUGCUAACCAAUCCUGCUCAUGUUUCACAACAGAAGAAUGGAAGCCAAUUGCUAAUGUUUAGGGUUUCCACAGGAAAAUAAUCAAAUGUCAAUCACAGGUUGAAUAUAAGAGAGUAGCUGGCAGCAGGGAGGUUGCUCUUCCUACCAUAUGUCUUUUCUCUUGCAUUGGAUCCACUGUGGCAUUUGUGAAGUGUCAGUACUUGAUUCCUUCCAUUACCUGGUUUUAAUUAACCCCCUGACGUCCCUUUGUGUGGUGGGUGAUAUCAGCUGUGGCUCUGAAUAGAAGCCACCCCUGUCAAAAUUUUUUGGAACAAGCUUCUCCUGAAUGGGCCCAAUGAGCCAGGGGGCUGUUUCCUCUUUAAUCCCACAUUUAAUAGCACGAGCUGAAGACAAUAGGCAGCUCCUCCAGGCUCUUUAAGCUUGAUUCCAUUUGACAUGUCCAACCCUCUUUUGUCAGCCUCACAAGGAUAUUCCACCUCGGCGUACUUCACAUAAGAUUCACUUCACAAGUGUCAUUGAGAUGAAACAGUCAGAGUAUUGGAACCUGCAGUCCUAGGCCUCAGCCUCCAUGACCAGCACUGGCACUUCUCUCACAUGCCUUUGUAACUGUAUAUACCUUCCAUGAAUAAACCCGUUUUAUUUUCUAGAGCCAUUGUACAGUUCUCAUCAUGAAAGCCAAGCAACUGAAUACUGAUGUAUUUUUUUUUCCUUCUUAUAUUCCUAAAAAUAUAAGAACAUC